GCUCACUCUCUGGUCUCAAUUUAAAAUGAUCCCGUGGCCACAGGGCUCCUGCCCAGGGGCUUGUCACCUUCCCCUCCUCCUUCCUGAGUCACUCCUUCAGUAGAAGGCCCUGCUCUCUAUCCUGCCCCACAGCCCUGCCUGGAUUUGUAUCCUUGGCUUCGUGCCAGUUCCUCCAAGUCUAUGGCACCUCCCUCCCUCUCAACCACUUGAGCAAACUCCAAGACACCUUCUACCCCGACACCAGCAAUUAUGCCAAGGGCCAUUAGGCUCUCAACAUGACUAUAGAGACCCCGUAUCAUCAUGGAGACCUUUGUUCCUGUGGGAAAAUAACCCUCCCACCUGCAACAGCUGCCCCUGCUGACUGCGCCUGUCUUCUCCCUCUGACCCCAGAGAAAGGGGCCGUGGUCAGCUGGGAUCUUCUGCCACCAUCAGGGACAAACCGGGGGCAGGAGGAAAGUCACUGAUGCCCAGCUGUUUGCAUCCUGCACAGCUACAGGUCCUUAAUUAAAAGUGUACUGU
This 519-nucleotide long non-coding RNA is filed under the name Homo sapiens (human). RNAcentral describes it as "LHRI_LNC1914.1". The record is from RNAcentral. Lineage: Eukaryota; Metazoa; Chordata; Mammalia; Primates; Hominidae.